This 2491-nucleotide long non-coding RNA is filed under the name Anas platyrhynchos platyrhynchos (common mallard). RNAcentral describes it as "lncRNA (ENSAPLG00000031253.1)". The record is from RNAcentral. Lineage: Eukaryota; Metazoa; Chordata; Aves; Anseriformes; Anatidae.
CAGGACUGCUCUACCUCCAUCCUGUGGUACGAUCCGUGUGGCUUUGGACAGAACUCAGUGAACAACCUCAAGUAUUUCUCAAGUUUUUCUUCAUUUCUCCUGUAUCUCUGAGCUGUUUUGUACUGUGAGAGCUAGAUCGAGGGAUGGAAGGCAUUGACUCAGAGCUAAAGGCAGUCUGUGCACAAGGGGAUAUGUGGAUUCUCAUUUUGUGUCCAAAGAAAUUGUGGGUGCAAUUAAGAUAUUAAAUUCAAGGAAACUGUAUAGAUUAGCUGGAGGAGUUUAGUAAAUAGUUAAAGGAUCAGCUAAUCCUUCCUUUACUGAUGACUUACAUCAGCUCUUUACUUGCAGUAGCUCCAGCUUUGCUUUCCAGGCUUGUAGCUCAGCUACUGCAUAAAGAGUUCCACGGCAGGAAGGCAGCAAAAGCAGAAAAGAGGUCAAUGGGCAACCCCUCCCUCCAAGGUGAGCGUGUGAUCAUCGCAGCACCAAACCUACCCCUUUCUUUCUCUCUACCUGCAGAUUGGGAUCAGUCCCUGGCAGCAGUACCUGGGUUGCUGCAGUUAGAGCCACAUGUCUGUAAACCACAGCAUGGCAAAGAUGCCUGCAUGUGCAUGCAGAUUGUGUGGAAAUUAUAUCCCUUCCUCAUCCUCAUCUUUUACUCAGGUUCCACGCAGGGAGAGGCUGCCACCGCUUUCCAAGCUGUUAUAAACCAAGCAAACCCAAAUUUCAGGUGAGACCUCCUUCUUUGGCUUUGGUUCAAAACUAUGAAGUGGAAAACUCCUGUCUAGAGGUCUAUGCAAACCUCUGUCUCUUUAAGUUGGUCUGAACAAACUACUAUUGCUCUUGCUUUAAAGAAAAUGUCAUAACUUGUUUAAAGAAGAAAAAGAAAGAAAUUUCCCAAGAAAAGCAUAAACAUUCACAGUGCUGCUCAGCAGAAAUAUGCUGUGGCCUCUUUCCACCGGGAAGGCAGAGGAAAUUGGGAUUUCACCCCCCUGACCUCUUUUAGGAAAAAAAUACAUAUAACUUCAAAUAACUUCAUUUUGGUGUCAGCAUUCAACAGAGUUCCAAAAAAAAAAAAGAAAAAAAGAGAGAGAUGAAGGAGAUGAAGUCUCCUUUCCCCUUCCUCUAGAGCACAGAACAGGAAUCUAGUAUUAUCGUGUCAUCAUUGUACAAGAGAGAACUAUUUAUAAUUUUCUGAACUUCCAUCUUGUAAGCAGGGAAAUACAACAGCUUCUUUAAAAAGCCCAGCAGGGAUUUUUCUGAAUUUGCACAACACGGAGUCAUCUAACAGGAGAAAAAAAAAAAAAACAAAAAACAUUUCUGCUAGUGCAGCCAUAGCUGUAUCUUAAAAUCUAGAUGCUAAACAGACACGUGUGUUCAACAAGGCAUCUUGUCCAUGCUGCUUGUUCUUAAGGUACAAACAGUACAAGGAACAACUCAGUGAGAUUCUAGUCCCAGAUGAGCAACUGGGUUCUGCCAAAAUAGAAAUAUGCUGUUAAUUUUCCUCAGUGACAGCACUGCCACAUCGUCAUCCUACAUGACAUCUGAUCAUAUCCGGGUGGACUUAAUGCUUUAAAGUACUAGACAUCAAUGAAAACAAAGACAGGGGUAGCAGUGGAGGGCGUUUGACAGCAGGAUGGCACCACUCCAAGCUCUCAAGGCAAGUCCCUGGCAAAUAGUAAGCAAUUUUGUUGAAAGAGUGAAAGAGCAGUGAGCAGAACGGCCCUGAGGAGGUGCAUUGCAGCAAAUGGGUGUGGGGCUGUUGUGGAUGAUGCUGCCCUGAUGGGGGAGGAAGACCCCAAGCCCCUGUGUCCUCCAAGAGCAGGGCAGCACAAGGGAGAACACUGGUGGGGAAAGGAACAGGGCAGAGAAAUGGGAAGGAGUGGGAGGUCUUUACUGAUGUGACACAAGCGCCUCUGUGACUUGGAGUUGUCCUGAAGGUGGCUGGGGGCAAGGGGUGGCCACAUCAGAACAAGCAUGAUGCACACUUGUCUGAUUUAUGAAAAGUCCAGUGCACUUUGAUCCCCUCCUAGUCCUCAGGAUGGGAUUGGUCUAAUGAUGUGUAUCUGCUGGUAUGCAGCAAGGUGUAACCCCCAGCCUUCUUCUGAAGGUGUCCUAUGUGUACGUGGUAUGAUUUGAGACCAGAGCCCAUUUUACAGCGGAGUUUUCAGCAACCUGUUUACCGUCAUAAAUAAGGUCAAAUCUCGAAAGCUUAAUUCUUCUGUGUCUGAUGUGUCUCUUCUGUAUUUUAUAGUAUGUAACCGUGGGUGCUUUAAAAGAGCAUGUGAAUUACAGGUAUGUGAUCAGGAGUCUGCCCUCCCUUAGUAAAAGUGUCAAUCACCUCCUGACUCAACCUUAAUCUUCAAAAUAGCCUAUAAGGUCAUAGAAAAGACACAGAACUCAGGAUUUUUGCUGAAAAUAGAGUCCUUGUGUCUUUUUCAAAUAUGGAUGUCUUUUAAAUAAAAGCCAGUGGCAAUGAUUAUAAUUGAAUGGC